This 253-nucleotide ribosomal RNA is filed under the name uncultured bacterium. Its description in RNAcentral is "partial 16S ribosomal RNA". It matches the Rfam family "Bacterial small subunit ribosomal RNA", at positions 524 to 776 of the family's 1533-position model. The record is from RNAcentral.
UACGUAGGGUGCGAGCGUUAAUCGGAAUUACUGGGCGUAAAGUGUGCGCAGGCGGCCGCGCAAGUCGAGUGUGAAAGCCCCGAGCUUAACUUGGGAAUUGCGCUCGAAACUACGUGGCUGGAGUGUGGCAGAGGAAGGUGGAAUUCCACGUGUAGCGGUGAAAUGCGUAGAGAUGUGGAGGAACACCAAUGGCGAAGGCAGCCUUCUGGGCCAACACUGACGCUCAUGCACGAAAGCGUGGGGAGCAAACAGG